This 398-nucleotide ribosomal RNA is filed under the name uncultured bacterium. RNAcentral describes it as "bacterial SSU rRNA". It matches the Rfam family "Bacterial small subunit ribosomal RNA", at positions 958 to 1355 of the family's 1533-position model. The record is from RNAcentral.
AACGAGAAGAACCUUACNUGGCCUUGACAUGCACGGAAUUUUCNCAGAGAUGGAUUGGUGCCUUCGGGAACCGUGACACAGUGCUGCAUGGCUGUCGUCAGCUCGUGUCGUGAGAUGUUGGGUUAAGUCCCGCAACGAGCGCAACCCUUGUCCUUAGUUGCCAGCACGUAAUGGUGGGAACUCUAAGGAGACCGCCGGCGACAAGCCGGAGGAAGGUGGGGAUGACGUCAAGUCAUCAUGGCGCUUACGGCCAGGGCUACACACGUAUACAAUGGUGGGGACAGAGGGCUGCGAUACCGCGAGGUGGAGCCAAUCCCAGAAACUUCAUCCCAGUCCGGAUUGGAGUCUGCAACUCGANUCCAUGAAGUCGUGUUUCGCUAGUAAUCGUAGAUCAGCAU